AGUGAACGCUGGCGGUAGGCCUAACACAUGCAAGUCGAACGGCAGCACAGUAAGAGCUUGCUCUUACGGGUGGCGAGUGGCGGACGGGUGAGGAAUACAUCGGAAUCUACUUUUUCGUGGGGGAUAACGUAGGGAAACUUACGCUAAUACCGCAUACGACCUACGGGUGAAAGCAGGGGAUCUUCGGACCUUGCGCGAUUGAAUGAGCCGAUGUCGGAUUAGCUAGUUGGCGGGGUAAAGGCCCGCCAAGGCGACGCUCCGUAGCUGGUCUGAGAGGAUGAUCAGCCACACUGGAACUGAGACACGGUCCAGACUCCUACGGGAGGCAGCAGUGGGGAAUAUUGGACAAUGGGCGCAAGCCUGAUCCAGCCAUACCGCGUGGGUGAAGAAGGCCUUCGGGUUGUAAAGCCCUUUUGUUGGGAAAGAAAAGCAGCAGGUUAAUACCCCGCUGUUCUGACGGUACCCAAAGAAUAAGCACCGGCUAACUUCGUG
RNAcentral lists this ribosomal RNA (492 nucleotides) under uncultured bacterium. Its description in RNAcentral is "partial 16S ribosomal RNA". It matches the Rfam family "Bacterial small subunit ribosomal RNA", at positions 29 to 507 of the family's 1533-position model. The record is from RNAcentral.